AUAUGAAACAGAAUUACCAGUGAGAAAGAAUUUCUCAAAAGGAAAGAAACUAGAUGACGAGUAAGAAGGAAUCACUUUCAGGAAGCCCGCUGCUGGGAUGGAUUACAUUGGCUUCCAAAUGUUGAACUGGCCUUGCAUACUGAAAAGCUGGAGCUGUACCUGAUACACUUUAUAAGCUUUAGGAGCACAGCAGAAGUGCCCAGAACAAUGAUUUGACUGGUUAACCGCUUCCUAGCUGUCCCAAGCACCUUCUAGUCAAUACAAUGCCGGGAGAGUGUAGAAGUCAAUCCAAGUUUCAGAUAAUCAACUUCCUGAACUGGGGGGAAGAAAGGGGGUUGGUGGGGAGCACUGGCAAGAAAUGAGCUAUGGCUAAAAAAGCUUAUUAAUCUUUUUAACAUCUCAAGUAGUAAG
Manis javanica (Malayan pangolin) is the source of this 411-nucleotide long non-coding RNA. RefSeq lists it as uncharacterized. NCBI's taxonomy places the organism in Eukaryota, Metazoa, Chordata, Mammalia, Pholidota, Manidae. The record is from RefSeq and is a predicted model, not a curated record.